This is a long non-coding RNA of Rosa chinensis, 904 nucleotides long. RefSeq lists it as uncharacterized. The record is from RefSeq and is a predicted model, not a curated record. The transcript is spliced from 4 exons. Lineage: Eukaryota; Viridiplantae; Streptophyta; Magnoliopsida; Rosales; Rosaceae.
UUAGAUAAGCUUCAUAUCCCUUUGAGAAUAUCUCUGGUGUGGCCAUCAGCUUAGGAUAGAGGUUGAAUUGGAAAUGGAGAUUAAUUCAGUCAGCCCAUCUCGGAGACGAAGUCUCCAUGUCCGGCCCUUAUAUAUAAAGGGGGUCCCAGUCUUGAUUGUGCACCUCACUCAACUGGCACUCUAUCCAAAGUUCAGGGCAUUUCUGGAGUUUGCAUAAGACCACUUACUUUGCUAGGAUUGCAUUUUGUGCUUCUCUUCCGAGCACUUGGAACAACAAACUGAUCGUGGCUUCUCAAAAGGUGCAAGUGAAGGCAGGGACUUUGACAGCUAGUGCAGGCAGGAACUUUGACAGCAAAAGCCAAAUCAUCGCUAGGAUUUGGUGGACAAGGUGAGUCCAAAGUUAUCAUAGAGAAGUGGGAAAGCUUCUACCUCACAGCUUGGUCUCAAGUCUCUGAUUUAUUUCCUCCUUGCUUGCAAGUUGCUAGAAGUACUUCCAAGAGAACAUCAAGGGUGAGCGUUCCUCUCCAGACACGAAUUUUGAAGAUUUGUGUGGUUUGUCCUGCUUGGUCAAUUCUUUGUUCGGCUUGUUUGCAAGGCCAUAUGUCUUUAUCACAGUUAACAAAAGGCAGAAAGCAGGAGACUUUUGUAGGGACUGUUGUUGACUUUCAGAACAGAUGACAUGACACUCUACCGAUUGGUCAUAUACUCGUUGAUACACAUGUAUUGUAUACGAGAUUGUGUUUGAGCCCAAAAUAAAUAUUUUUCCCGACAUGGGGGACUCGACGAAAUCUAGGCCAAUAUUCGGUGGCCCAAGCUAUUUAUUUCCGACAAGUUCGGAAUAUAUUGUUUAGAGGCCAAAUAAGGCCUACUUGGAGAUCAAGCAAUCGUGAGGCAAAUCGUGAUA